GAUGAAGAACGCAGCGAAAUGCGAUAAGUAGUGUGAAUCGCAGAAUUCAGUGAAUCAUCGAAUCUUUGAACGCACAUUGCGCCCGCUGGUAUUCCGGCGGGCAUGCCUGUUCGAGCGUCAUUUCAACCCUCAAGCCCCCGGGUUUGGUGUUGGGGAUCGGCUCUGCCCUUCUGGGCGGUGCCGCCCCCGAAAUACAUUGGCGGUCUCGCUGCAGCCUCCAUUGCGUAGUAGCUAACACCUCGCAACUGGAACGCGGCGCGGCCAUGCCGUAAAACCCCAACUUCUGAAUGUUGACCUCGGAUCAGGUAGGAAUACCCGCUGAACUUAAGCAUAUCAAUAAGCGGAGGA
RNAcentral lists this unclassified non-coding RNA (348 nucleotides) under soil metagenome. RNAcentral describes it as "partial contains 5.8S ribosomal RNA, internal transcribed spacer 2, and large subunit ribosomal RNA". The stretch from base 1 to 120 matches the Rfam family "5.8S ribosomal RNA", at positions 35 to 154 of the family's 154-position model. The record is from RNAcentral.